ACGGGGGGGGCAAGCGUUGUUCGGAAUUACUGGGCGUAAAGGGCGCGUAGGCGGGCGGGCAAGUCUCACGUGAAAGCCCACGGCUCAACCGUGGAAUUGCGGGAGAUACUGCCUGUCUUGAGUCCGGGAGAGGAGGGUGGAAUUCCCAGUGUAGCGGUGAAAUGCGUAGAUAUUGGGAGGAACACCGGUGACGAAGGCGGCUCUCUGGACCGGUACUGACGCUGAGGCGCGAAAGCUAGGGGAGCAAACGGGA
This 253-nucleotide ribosomal RNA is filed under the name uncultured prokaryote. RNAcentral describes it as "partial 16S ribosomal RNA". It matches the Rfam family "Bacterial small subunit ribosomal RNA", at positions 525 to 777 of the family's 1533-position model. The record is from RNAcentral.